Molecule: ribosomal RNA, 301 nt
Filed under: uncultured bacterium
Lineage: Bacteria
Description: partial 16S ribosomal RNA
Rfam family: Bacterial small subunit ribosomal RNA
Source: RNAcentral
CAGUCGCCACGGGAAAACGGAGGGUGCAAGCGUUAAUCGGAAUUACUGGGCGUAAAGCGUGCGCAGGCGGUUCGGAAAGAAAGAUGUGAAAUCCCAGGGCUCAACCUUGGAACUGCAUUUUUAACUACCGGACUAGAGUAUGUCAGAGGGAGGUGGAAUUCCACGUGUAGCAGUGAAAUGCGUAGAUAUGUGGAGGAACACCGAUGGCGAAGGCAGCCUCCUGGGAUAAUACUGACGCUCAUGCACGAAAGCGUGGGGAGCAAACAGGAUUAGAUACCCCAGUAGUCCCUGUCUCUUAUAC